RNAcentral lists this ribosomal RNA (253 nucleotides) under uncultured bacterium. RNAcentral describes it as "partial 16S ribosomal RNA". It matches the Rfam family "Bacterial small subunit ribosomal RNA", at positions 524 to 776 of the family's 1533-position model. The record is from RNAcentral.
UACGGAGGGAGCUAGCGUUGUUCGGAAUUACUGGGCGUAAAGCGCACGUAGGCGGCUUUUUAAGUCAGGGGUGAAAUCCCGGAGCUCAACUUCGGAAUUGCCUUUAAGACUGCAUCGCUUGAAUCAUGGAGAGGUCAGUGGAAUUCCGAGUGUAGAGGUGAAAUUCGUAGAUAUUCGGAAGAACACCAGUGGCGAAGGCGACUGACUGGACAUGUAUUGACGCUGAGGUGCGAAAGCGUGGGGAGCAAACAGG